This 1032-nucleotide long non-coding RNA is filed under the name Sarcophilus harrisii (Tasmanian devil). Its description in RNAcentral is "lncRNA (ENSSHAG00000025328.1)". The record is from RNAcentral. Lineage: Eukaryota; Metazoa; Chordata; Mammalia; Dasyuromorphia; Dasyuridae.
UCAGUAAUUCAAUAAUUUAUUCAUCUAAAAAAGUGUGUAAAAGUAUAUAGCUCUCAUCCACAAGGUAUAUAUGAAUGACAUUUAAAAUGGAGGCCUUUUAUUAUUGUUUCUUUUUAUCAAAGUCUUUUUUAGUGUAUUGUACCAGCGAUAUACUGUAGUUUUUUUUUUUUUAAUGAACUUCACAUAUUUUUGUAUUCUUUCAAAUUGUCUGCUAUAUAUAAAAGAAGCUCACUGCAAAAUGCUUGAAGGAAAAAAAAAAGACAAAAAUUCAGAACUUCCCAGAAAUGUACAGCUUUUACAUUUAAAAAAGGUUCUGAAAUAUACAUACAGGCAUGCGGGACAAUCCCCUCCCCCCCCCUCGCCCCUCAGCUCAAACCACAGUAAGAGUUCUGAUUUCUGCAUGAUCUCCAAAAUUAGAAAUUAAAAAAAAAAUAAAAUAACUUUUUCACUCUGUAGCAAAUCCAGGGCUUGUACAUUUCAGAUUAAUUCAGUAAAAAACUCACAAGUAAAAUAAUGCAUAUUUAAGGGAAAUAUUAUAAUAAGAUUUUUUAAAAUCUAUUGCCAUUCAUUUAUUUUGCACAAAAACGUAUAAAUAUGUCACCAGCUUUUCUUAACUUAAAAAACUUAAAUAAAAACGACACCAGAUGAAAACUACCCUUUGCUGCCUUUUUUUUUUUUUUAAUAAUUUUUUUUGUGGGUUUUUUUUUUCCUUUUUGCUUAGAACUGGGUUUCUAGGGAAAAAAAGCCCCUGCAUAAAAACAGCCCAUUAAAAAAAAAUUCAGAUGAAUUCUGGGAAAAAACAACCCCAAAGUGGUAAAAGAUUACAAAUGUCUACUUUACAAUUUGUCUUCUCACCAAGUUAGAUUUUUAUACAUGUUUACAAUCUUCAUAUUUUUAUGCGCUUCAAAAGGCCUUGAGAAUUUUCCUUUCUGAUUAAGAAAAAAUAGCACUGCAAUAUUUUUAAAGUCAAUUUUACACUGUACACAUUAGAUACAAAUGGUUUGAUAUAUCAGAUUUUUUUUUUAACCUAUA